AUCAAUAAGCGGAGGAAAAGAAAAUAACAAUGAUUUCCCUAGUAACGGCGAGUGAAGAGGAAAGAGCUCAAAGUUGGAACCUGUUUGGCCUAGCUAAACAGGAUUGUAAACUGUAGAAGUGGUUUUCCAGGCAAUCCGAGUUAAUAAGUCCUUUGGAACAGGGCAUCAUAGAGGGUGAGAAUCCCGUCUUUGAUUCGAGAAACUUUGCCUUUUGCGAUACACUUUCAAAGAGUCAGGUUGUUUGGGAAUGCAGCCUAAAUUGGGUGGUAAAUCUCACCUAAAGCUAAAUAUUGGCGAGAAACCGAUAGCGAACAAGUACCGUGAGGGAAAGAUGAAAAGAACUUUGAAAAGAGAGUUAAACAGUAUGUGAAAUUGUUAAAAGGGAACCGUUUGGAGCCAGACUGGCUUGUCUGUAAUCAAUCUAGGCUUUGGCCUGGAUGCACUUGCAGAUUAUGCCUGCCAACGACAAUUUGAUUUGAGGGAAAAAACUAGAGGAAAUGUGGCCAAUAUUUUUUUGUUGGUGUUAUAGUCCUUUAGAAAAUACCUUGGAUUGGAUUGAGGAACGCAGCGAAUGCUCUCUUUUUGGGGAGGGCGAGUCUUUGAUAAGUCUUUACGGAUAUGACUGGAGUUAAAAAGACCAGAAGUUGAAGUUUAAACUUGUUUUUAUGUACUUUAAUUCGCUUAGGUUGUUGGCUUAAUGACUCUAAAUGAC
RNAcentral lists this ribosomal RNA (712 nucleotides) under Rhizopus americanus. RNAcentral describes it as "eukaryotic LSU rRNA". It matches the Rfam family "Eukaryotic large subunit ribosomal RNA", at positions 42 to 648 of the family's 3401-position model. Lineage: Eukaryota; Fungi; Mucoromycota; Mucoromycetes; Mucorales; Rhizopodaceae. The record is from RNAcentral.